Molecule: long non-coding RNA, 211 nt
Organism: Dipodomys spectabilis (banner-tailed kangaroo rat)
Lineage: Eukaryota; Metazoa; Chordata; Mammalia; Rodentia; Heteromyidae
Exons: 2
Source: RefSeq, a predicted model, not a curated record
AACCAUGAUCCUCAGAUCUCAGCCUCCUGAGUAGCUAGGAUUACAAGUAUGAGCCUCUAGCAGCUGGCUCAUGUCUCUGCUUUUGAGAAUUGUGAUUACCAGUGAACUUGUUCUGUUGGCUCAGUAUGUAGUCCAGGUCUCAAACUCAUGAUCCUCUUGCCUUAGCCUCCCAGAUGCUGAGAUUAUAAAUAUGACAACCAUGACCUGCUCA